CUGGCUCAGGAUGAACGCUUGCGGCAUGCCUAAUACAUGCAAGUCGAACGAGAAUCAUUGAGGUGCUUGCACCACUUUGGUUCUAGUGGCGAACGGGUGAGUAACACGUGAGAAAUCUGCCCUUUAGACUGGGAUAACUACUGGAAACGGUUUGUAAUACCGGAUGUCUUCUUUGUACCGCAUGGUACUUAGAGAAAAGCUUAGAUGCACUAAAGGAUGAUCUCGCGGCGUAUUAGUUAGUUGGUGAGAUAGUGGCUCACCAAGACAAUGAUACGUAGCCGGCCUGAGAGGGUGACCGGCCACACUGGGACUGAGACACGGCCCAGACUCCUACGGGAGGCAGCAGUAGGGAAUCAUCGGCAAUGGGGGAAACCCUGACCGUGCAAUGCCGCGUGAGUGAUGAAGGCCUUCGGGUUGUAAAACUCUGUUGUGAAGGAAGAACAACCUAGAUAGAAUCUAGGUCUGACGGUACUUCACCAGAAAGCCAUGGCUAACUACGUGCCAGCAGCCGCGGUAAUACGUAGAUGGCAAGCGUUAUCCGGAUUUAUUGGGCGUAAAGGGUGCUCAGCUGGUUUAUUAAGUUUGUAGUUAAAAUUCGAAGCUCAACUUCGAAGUGCUGCGAAAACUGGUAAACUUGAGUACAGAAGAGGGUAGUGGAAUUCCAUGUGAAGCGGUAAAAUGCGUAGAUAUAUGGAGGAACACCAGUGGCGAAGGCGGCUACCUGGUCUGUAACUGACGGUCAAGCACGAAAGCGUGGGGAGCAAAUAGGAUUAGAUACCCUAGUAGUCCACGCCGUAAACGAUGAAUACUAAGUGUGGAGAAAUUCAGUGCUACAGUUAACGCAAUAAGUAUUCCGCGUGGG
Molecule: ribosomal RNA, 862 nt
Filed under: uncultured bacterium
Lineage: Bacteria
Description: bacterial SSU rRNA
Rfam family: Bacterial small subunit ribosomal RNA
Source: RNAcentral